Molecule: ribosomal RNA, 961 nt
Filed under: uncultured bacterium
Lineage: Bacteria
Description: bacterial SSU rRNA
Rfam family: Bacterial small subunit ribosomal RNA
Source: RNAcentral
AGAGUUUGAUCCUGGCUCAGAGCGAACGCUGGCGGCGUGCUUAACACAUGCAAGUCGAGUGCGCGCCCGUAGCAAUACGGGUGGCGCACGGCGCACGGGUGCGUAACACGUGGGUAACCUGCCCUUUGAUGGGGAAUAACCCCGCGAAAGCGGGGCUAAUUCCGCAUAAGAUCCGCAAGGAUGAAAGCCGUAAGGCGUCGAAGGAGGGGCCUGCGCACGAUUAGCUAGUUGGUAGGGUAACGGCCUACCAAGGCUUUGAUCGUUAGCUGGUCUGAGAGGAUGGCCAGCCACACUGGAACUGAGACACGGUCCAGACUCCUACGGGAGGCAGCAGUGGGGAAUCUUGCACAAUGGGCGAAAGCCUGAUGCAGCGACGCCGCGUGGGGGAUGAAGCUUCUCGGAGUGUAAACCCCUUUCGACCCGGACGAAUACCUCGCAAGAGGGGUGACGGUACGGGUAUAAGAAGCCCCGGCUAACUACGUGCCAGCAGCCGCGGUAAGACGUGGGGGGCCAGCGUUGCUCGGAAUUACUGGGUGUAAAGGGUCAGUAGGCGGUGUGGCAAGUCGGGAGUGAAAUCUCUGGGCUUAACUCAGAGACUGCUUCCGAAACUGCUGUGCUUGAGUGUGGGAGAGGCGCGUGGAAUUGCAGGUGUAGCGGUGAAAUGCGUAGAUAUCUGCAGGAACACCCGUGGCGAAAGCGGCGCGCUGGACCACAACUGACGCUGAAUGACGAAAGCUAGGGGAGCAAACAGGAUUAGAUACCCUGGUAGUCCUAGCCCUAAACGAUCAGGACUUGGGGUGCCACCCGUUCGGGUGUCGUCCCGGAGCUAACGCGUUAAGUCCUGCACCUGGGGAGUACGGUCGCAAGACUGAAACUCAAAGGAAUUGACGGGGGCCCGCACAAGCGGUGGAACAUGUGGUUCAAUUCGACGCUACGCGGAGGAACCUUACCUGGGCCCGAA